This 502-nucleotide ribosomal RNA is filed under the name uncultured bacterium. RNAcentral's name for it is "partial 16S ribosomal RNA". It matches the Rfam family "Bacterial small subunit ribosomal RNA", at positions 30 to 523 of the family's 1533-position model. The record is from RNAcentral.
AUUGAACGCUGGCGGCAUGCCUUACACAUGCAAGACGAACGGCAGCAUAGGAGCUUGCUCCUGAUGGCGAGUGGCGAACGGGUGAGUAAUAUAUCGGAACGUGCCCUAGAGUGGGGGAUAACUAGUCGAAAGACUAGCUAAUACCGCAUACGAUCUACGGAUGAAAGUGGGGGAUCGCAAGACCUCAUGCUCCUGGAGCGGCCGAUAUCUGAUUAGCUAGUUGGUGGGGUAAAAGCUCACCAAGGCGACGAUCAGUAGCUGGUCUGAGAGGACGACCAGCCACACUGGGACUGAGACACGGCCCAGACUCCUACGGGAGGCAGCAGUGGGGAAUUUUGGACAAUGGGGGCAACCCUGAUCCGGCAAUGCCGCGUGAGUGAAGAAGGCCUUCGGGUUGUAAAGCUCUUUUGUCAGGGAAGAAACGGUUCUGGAUAAUACCUGGGACUAAUGACGGUACCUGAAGAAUAAGCACCGGCUAACUACGUGCCAGCCGCCGCCGUAA